GUUAUGGCUGAACUUUAAAAAGGAACCUGGGCCAUGAUUGCUAUCUUAAUUUACAUCAAUUAUGAUGGUUCUGAUUAGACUCUGUGGUUCUGGCUGACCGUCGCUGACUGAUCACGUGAUGCUAACAGGAUAUUUGCUCGGUUAACUGCCGUAUGUUCACAUACCGAUACAACUAUUAGGUUAACGUUACAGUUACCCUCAGUUAUUUUGUUGUAUGUGUUGCUGCGUGGCUAUGACCUCAGGUUACCUCCUUCAGCUGAUCCAGCUCAUGUCGGACCGUCUCGUAUUCUGUCUCCAACUCAUCAAAUCGCUGCUUGAGCUGCUGCUUCUCCUCCAGCACCGCCAGCCCAUACUCAGCUGCCUGGAUCUUCUCAUGGGUCGUCUCACGGAGCUCCCGGACUUCAACGAUGGUCAACCUCGACGAUACUUUUGUCAUUCUCGAGGAGUUUCUUCAGCCUCUUAGUGAAGCUGACAGAGGAAACUUCAGUUGAGAUCAUCGAUUGGAAAAAAAAAGCUACCCCUGCAAGACAUUCAAAUCGAGUGGUUUGACCGGCUUCAGGGAGUUGUCUUCUUGGUGUUGUUGCUAAACCUGCCUGGAGAAUUCACCUGCAGCUGAACAUAAAUGGAAUAUGGACAAGGACUUGUAUCAACACUACAAAUAUUACCAUUUUUAUUCAAUCUGCUUUGGUCUGGGAUGUGGAACAGCACUCUAUAGACCCUUUCGUUCGCUCAUGAUUCCAUUAGUUCUUGCUGUGUUUUUCACCACAGUGUUCGAGGUUGUGGGCAUAAUGUCUGAUAUUCCACCCCAUACUAUAAGAUGUAAAGGUCCUCCCUUUGACAAAAGAGAUGUUUACUGGGGAUUUUGUUUUGCAUUUAUCGUGGCCAUCCUGAACCUCAACUCAUAUCAUGUCUACACACUGUCUUAUGGAUGUGGAGUCAUGGUGUUUGCUCUUAGAGGAGCAGAACGGAAACACAGAUAUCUAAGGAAGCUGAGAACGAGACGGCGCACUGGGUGGUAAAAGGAUUUUACAACCACAGAAUUAACAGGCCGUUAUCUAUGUUUCUACAAGGUCAAAGAGCAGAGUUGUGUUUGAUGAAUGAACUUUAGCAUCACAGAUGCUGAAUUCUACCAGGAAGUCAUGCAUGUCUCCACAGACACGAGCACACAAUUAUAAUCCUGUCAGACAAUUUUAUGAACAGAUCUUCAGUUGGCCAUUUGUAGGUUAAAAAAAAUGUAUAUAGCUAUCUCAGGGAUGUACUGCAAAGAAGUAAUUAAAUUAUGAAACAAGUGAUGCAGAUGUAAGAAUGUAAAAAUGGUAUUAUAAUAAUGUAUGUUGUCAUUAAUCAUGAUUUGUGUUUGUAAUGAAAUCAUACACUGUUUAAAGUAAAAGUGUAAGAACAGAGUCAUGUGUAUGUAUACGGCUUGAACUAUACACUUACACAAAUAUACUUCUAGGGAAAAAGAACAAACCAUUGUAAACACUCAAAGUCAAAUGCAGAGGGCUUUAUUACAUGACAGUAAGGUACAUACAAAAUUUCAAGUAACAAAGAAAGUGUUUGUUCUUGGGCUAACAAGUCAGAUGUAACUCUAGCUUCAUAGUCACAGCUAGCCAUAUUCUCCUGCAGCCCUCCACCUUAUGUAAAAAAAGAUGAUGUCACUGAGCACAUAAUGAUUAGCGUCACACUGCUGGUAUGGUCCAGUUGUACAGCUAGCACAAAUGAACAUUGAGGUGUGUAGGUUGAUGGUAGCUUUAUUAAAUCAAUUACAGAUAAAAUACAGUGCUGAAGAGAAAUUAUACAACCUUUGAAACCAAAAAAGUUAAAAACAUCCGAGGAUGUGAUUUGUGGUUUUGAGUGACUGCUCUUUAUGACCUACCUACAUUUGUUUAAUUUUUUUUUCUCCACUACUUUCUACAAACAAAAACUCAGUUAGCUUAUUUCUGACACUAUUGUCAUGUUAAACUACUAUGCCCCACCCAAGAGCUACAUCAGAACAAUAUAAAAACAUUUCCAGUUGAAGGUAAUCAAAGAGCAAUUAAAAAAACAUAUUAGAGCAUUACAUAGUACUCAUGUUGAACAUGUUAUAAUGUAUUGUUUUGUAUGGUGAGUCAGUUAUGGACACAUUUAGAUAAGUGAACUGAAUUCAUGACAAUGCUGAGUUUAGGCGUGAGGAUGUGUGUUUGAAUGUUUGUUUCUCUGCUCUUGUGUGCGAUGUGAUGGAUGUAUGGAAGAAAGAAAUAAAGGUAAAGGUGGAACUACAUCAAAGUGGACAGCACAAAAUCACAUUACUUCAGUACACACUUAGGGGCAUUCACAGCGAAGAGCUGGGUGUCAUGUGAAUCGAAAACAUACUUGACUGUUUAUCUUCAUCUGCAGGGGUGUGAUCAGAUAGGUGGG
Cottoperca gobio is the source of this 2397-nucleotide long non-coding RNA. RefSeq lists it as uncharacterized. The transcript has 10 exons. Lineage: Eukaryota; Metazoa; Chordata; Actinopteri; Perciformes; Bovichtidae. The record is from RefSeq and is a predicted model, not a curated record.